Molecule: ribosomal RNA, 300 nt
Filed under: uncultured Oceanospirillales bacterium
Lineage: Bacteria; Pseudomonadati; Pseudomonadota; Gammaproteobacteria; Oceanospirillales
Description: bacterial SSU rRNA
Rfam family: Bacterial small subunit ribosomal RNA
Source: RNAcentral
CGCGUGAGAAUCUACCUAGGUGAUGGGGAUAGCCCGGAGAAAUCCGGAUUAAUACCGAAUACGCUCUACGGAGGAAAGAGGGCCUCUUCUUGAAAGCUCUCGCGCCUAGAUGAGCUCGCGUAAGAUUAGCUAGUUGGUGAGGUAAGAGCUCACCAAGGCGACGAUCUUUAGCUGGUCUGAGAGGAUGAUCAGCCACACUGGGACUGAGACACGGCCCAGACUCCUACGGGAGGCAGCAGUGGGGAAUAUUGGACAAUGGGCGGAAGCCUGAUCCAGCAAUACCGCGUGUGUGAAGAAGGC